RNAcentral lists this ribosomal RNA (1072 nucleotides) under Salmonella enterica subsp. enterica. RNAcentral's name for it is "partial 23S ribosomal RNA". It matches the Rfam family "Bacterial large subunit ribosomal RNA", at positions 161 to 1269 of the family's 2925-position model. The record is from RNAcentral. Lineage: Bacteria; Pseudomonadati; Pseudomonadota; Gammaproteobacteria; Enterobacterales; Enterobacteriaceae. RNAcentral also lists the same sequence under 1 other name.
AAUCCAUAGGUUAAUGAGGCGAACCGGGGGAACUGAAACAUCUAAGUACCCCGAGGAAAAGAAAUCAACCGAGAUUCCCCCAGUAGCGGCGAGCGAACGGGGAGGAGCCCAGAGCCUGAAUCAGCAUGUGUGUUAGUGGAAGCGUCUGGAAAGGCGCGCGAUACAGGGUGACAGCCCCGUACACAAAAGCGCAUGUGCUGUGAGCUCGAUGAGUAGGGCGGGACACGUGGUAUCCUGUCUGAAUAUGGGGGGACCAUCCUCCAAGGCUAAAUACUCCUGACUGACCGAUAGUGAACCAGUACCGUGAGGGAAAGGCGAAAAGAACCCCGGCGAGGGGAGUGAAAAAGAACCUGAAACCGUGUACGUACAAGCAGUGGGAGCACAGGUUUACCUGUGUGACUGCGUACCUUUUGUAUAAUGGGUCAGCGACUUAUAUUCUGUAGCAAGGUUAACCGAAUAGGGGAGCCGGAGGGAAACCGAGUCUUAAUUGGGCGUUAAGUUGCAGGGUAUAGACCCGAAACCCGGUGAUCUAGCCAUGGGCAGGUUGAAGGUUGGGUAACACUAACUGGAGGACCGAACCGACUAAUGUUGAAAAAUUAGCGGAUGACCUGUGGCUGGGGGUGAAAGGCCAAUCAAACCGGGAGAUAGCUGGUUCUCCCCGAAAGCUAUUUAGGUAGCGCCUCGUGAAUUCAUCUCCGGGGGUAGAGCACUGUUUCGGCUAGGGGGCCAUCCCGGCUUACCAACCCGAUGCAAACUGCGAAUACCGGAGAAUGUUAUCACGGGAGACACACGGCGGGUGCUAACGUCCGUCGUGAAGAGGGAAACAACCCAGACCGCCAGCUAAGGUCCCAAAGUCAUGGUUAAGUGGGAAACGAUGUGGGAAGGCCCAGACAGCCAGGAUGUUGGCUUAGAAGCAGCCAUCAUUUAAAGAAAGCGUAAUAGCUCACUGGUCGAGUCGGCCUGCGCGGAAGAUGUAACGGGGCUAAACCAUGCACCGAAGCUGCGGCAGCGACGCUUAUGCGUUGUUGGGUAGGGGAGCGUUCUGUAAGCCUGUGAAGGUGUGUCGUGAGGC